Molecule: ribosomal RNA, 868 nt
Filed under: uncultured bacterium
Lineage: Bacteria
Description: bacterial SSU rRNA
Rfam family: Bacterial small subunit ribosomal RNA
Source: RNAcentral
AGAGUUUGAUCCUGGCUCAGGAUGAACGCUAGCUACAGGCUUAACACAUGCAAGUCGAGGGGAAACGAUAGAGAAAGCUUGCUUUUUCUAGGCGUCGACCGGCGCACGGGUGAGUAACGCGUAUCCAACCUGCCCACCACUUGGGGAUAACCUUGCGAAAGUAAGACUAAUACCCAAUGAUAUCUCUAGAAGACAUCUGAAAGGGAUUAAAGAUUUAUCGGUGAUGGAUGGGGAUGCGUCUGAUUAGCUUGUUGGCGGGGUAACGGCCCACCAAGGCAACGAUCAGUAGGGGUUCUGAGAGGAAGGUCCCCCACAUUGGAACUGAGACACGGUCCAAACUCCUACGGGAGGCAGCAGUGAGGAAUAUUGGUCAAUGGGCGAGAGCCUGAACCAGCCAAGUAGCGUGCAGGAUGACGGCCCUAUGGGUUGUAAACUGCUUUUAUAAGGGAAUAAAGUGAGCCUCGUGAGGCUUUUUGCAUGUACCUUAUGAAUAAGGACCGGCUAAUUCCGUGCCAGCAGCCGCGGUAAUACGGAAGGUCCGGGCGUUAUCCGGAUUUAUUGGGUUUAAAGGGAGCGUAGGCCGGAGAUUAAGCGUGUUGUGAAAUGUAGAUGCUCAACAUCUGCACUGCAGCGCGAACUGGUUUCCUUGAGUACGCACAAAGUGGGCGGAAUUCGUGGUGUAGCGGUGAAAUGCUUAGAUAUCACGAAGAACUCCGAUUGCGAAGGCAGCUCACUGGAGCGCAACUGACGCUGAAGCUCGAAAGUGCGGGUAUCGAACAGGAUUAGAUACCCUGGUAGUCCGCACGGUAAACGAUGGAUGCCCGCUGUUGGUCUGAAUAGGUCAGCGGCCAAGCGAAAGCAUUAAGCA